GGGUUAUGACCUAGCUGGGUUAUGACCGGGGAUGUGACCUUAGAAAUUCCUCCCCUGGACUUUCUAUUGCCUUUCUAGCAAUCAGCUUAUGGAAACACUU
RNAcentral lists this small nucleolar RNA (100 nucleotides) under Fukomys damarensis (Damara mole-rat). RNAcentral's name for it is "Small nucleolar RNA SNORA32 (ENSFDAG00000004950.1)". Lineage: Eukaryota; Metazoa; Chordata; Mammalia; Rodentia; Bathyergidae. The record is from RNAcentral.